GAACAUAUGCUUAAAUAAGGCCUAUUUUGUGCAAACUUCAAACAUCUUCUUGUUCUUAAUUAUAGAGCCUAGGGCUACUAAAUUUGGUAUGUUGUGAUAUCUAAUAGUUCUCUACCAAAUUUGUUCAAAUUAUUCCCCAGGGCUCAAAUUUGACCCUGUCCCGGGAGGUCACAAAACUGAACAUAUGACGUUUACCAGGGGAGAUUACUGCGGCCGUGUGGCUGUGACCAACAACAACAACAACAACAUCUUGUAAACAUGAGAUAAAACCCUGUCAUUUAGUGCCAUUUUAGAUCAGAUGAUGACUGCUUACAAAGGAAUUGAAGCGGUGUCGAAAUGGGUCUAUAGCUCUGCCUGAUCCGUCGUCCAAUUGGUAAACCGGCUGAAGUGACAGGCCAUCAAAAACUGUACAGCAUGACUGUUUCGGAGACGGCCCUCAACACUCGCCCAGUCGUGUCGAGAGGAUCGGUGUCUUUGCAGAUUACACGGAAUUGAGCACCCGGGCCAGACUGACACUUUCCGGAGCCUGUCCGAGACGGAACUCGAGCCGAGGAAUCAUAGGUACAGGUGUGACAAAAGACUUGAAGCUCAUGUCUGACGAUGACUUUUUUCAGUCAGGAAGUCAAGUGUGUUGUUUUUCCAUGCAAGCAAGUCCUUUUGUUGGGUCAAAUGACAUCAGAAUUGCUGCUUCUACAUGGAUUUUA
Molecule: long non-coding RNA, 704 nt
Organism: Dreissena polymorpha
Lineage: Eukaryota; Metazoa; Mollusca; Bivalvia; Myida; Dreissenidae
Exons: 3
Source: RefSeq, a predicted model, not a curated record